This 491-nucleotide ribosomal RNA is filed under the name uncultured bacterium. Its description in RNAcentral is "partial 16S ribosomal RNA". It matches the Rfam family "Bacterial small subunit ribosomal RNA", at positions 28 to 507 of the family's 1533-position model. The record is from RNAcentral.
GAUGAACGCUAGCUACAGGCUUAACACAUGCAAGUCGAGGGGAAACGAUGCGAGAGCUUGCUCUCUUAGUCGUCGACCGGCGCACGGGUGAGUAACGCGUAUCCAACCUGCCUCUGACCAAGGGAUAACCCGUCGAAAGUCGGACUAAUACCUUAUGCAGUCGUCGGAAGUCAUCUGAUGACGACGAAAGAUUUCAUCGGUGAGAGAUGGGGAUGCGUCUGAUUAGCUUGUUGGCGGGGUAACGGCCCACCAAGGCGACGAUCAGUAGGGGUUCUGAGAGGAAGGUCCCCCACAUUGGAACUGAGACACGGUCCAAACUCCUACGGGAGGCAGCAGUGAGGAAUAUUGGUCAAUGGGCGUAAGCCUGAACCAGCCAAGUAGCGUGCAGGAUGACGGCCCUAUGGGUUGUAAACUGCUUUUAUGCGGGGAUAAAGUGAGGGACGUGUCCUUCAUUGCAGGUACCGCAUGAAUAAGGACCGGCUAAUUCCGUG